UAGCGCCUCGUGAAUUCAUCUCCGGGGGUAGAGCACUGUUUCGGCUAGGGGGCCAUCCCGGCUUACCAACCCGAUGCAAACUGCGAAUACCGGAGAAUGUUAUCACGGGAGACACACGGCGGGUGCUAACGUCCGUCGUGAAGAGGGAAACAACCCAGACCGCCAGCUAAGGUCCCAAAGUCAUGGUUAAGUGGGAAACGAUGUGGGAAGGCCCAGACAGCCAGGAUGUUGGCUUAGAAGCAGCCAUCAUUUAAAGAAAGCGUAAUAGCUCACUGGUCGAGUCGGCCUGCGCGGAAGAUGUAACGGGGCUAAACCAUGCACCGAAGCUGCGGCAGCGACACUGUGUGUUGUUGGGUAGGGGAGCGUUCUGUAAGCCUGUGAAGGUGUGUCGUGAGGCAUGCUGGAGGUAUCAGAAGUGCGAAUGCUGACAUAAGUAACGAUAAAGCGGGUGAAAAGCCCGCUCGCCGGAAGACCAAGGGUUCCUGUCCAACGUUAAUCGGGGCAGGGUGAGUCGACCCCUAAGGCGAGGCCGAAAGGCGUAGUCGAUGGGAAACGGGUUAAUAUUCCCGUACUUGGUGUUACUGCGAAGGGGGGACGGAGAAGGCUAUGUUGGCCGGGCGACGGUUGUCCCGGUUUAAGCGUGUAGGUGUGUGUUCCAGGUAAAUCCGGUUCACUUUAACACUGAGGCGUGACGACGAGGCACUACGGUGCUGAAGCAACAAAUGCCCUGCUUCCAGGAAAAGCCUCUAAGCAUCAGGUAACAUCAAAUCGUACCCCAAACCGACACAGGUGGUCAGGUAGAGAAUACCAAGGCGCUUGAGAGAACUCGGGUGAAGGAACUAGGCAAAAUGGUGCCGUAACUUCGGGAGAAGGCACGCUGACACGUAGGUGAAGUGAUUUACUCAUGGAGCUGAAGUCAGUCGAAGAUACCAGCUGGCUGCAACUGUUUAUUAAAAACACAGCACUGUGCAAACACGAAAGUGGACGUAUACGGUGUGACGCCUGCCCGGUGCCGGAAGGUUAAUUGAUGGGGUCAGCGCAAGCGAAGCUCCUGAUCGAAGCCCCGGUAAACGGCGGCCGUAACUAUAACGGUCCUAAGGUAGCGAAAUUCCUUGUCGGGUAAGUUCCGACCUGCACGAAUGGCGUAAUGAUGGCCAGGCUGUCUCCACCCGAGACUCAGUGAAAUUGAACUCGCUGUGAAGAUGCAGUGUACCCGCGGCAAGACGGAAAGACCCCGUGAACCUUUACUAUAGCUUGACACUGAACAUUGAGCCUUGAUGUGUAGGAUAGGUGGGAGGCUUUGAAGUGUGGACGCCAGUCUGCAUGGAGCCGACCUUGAAAUACCACCCUUUAAUGUUUGAUGUUCUAACGUGGACCCGUUACCCGGGUUGCGGACAGUGUCUGGUGGGUAGUUUGACUGGGGCGGUCUCCUCC
Molecule: ribosomal RNA, 1434 nt
Filed under: Salmonella enterica
Lineage: Bacteria; Pseudomonadati; Pseudomonadota; Gammaproteobacteria; Enterobacterales; Enterobacteriaceae
Also listed under: 1 other name
Description: partial 23S ribosomal RNA
Rfam family: Bacterial large subunit ribosomal RNA
Source: RNAcentral